Molecule: ribosomal RNA, 305 nt
Filed under: uncultured bacterium
Lineage: Bacteria
Description: bacterial SSU rRNA
Rfam family: Bacterial small subunit ribosomal RNA
Source: RNAcentral
UAUAUCCUACGGGGGGCAGCAGUCGAGAAUCAUUCACAAUGGGGGAAACCCUGAUGCAGCGACGCCGCGUGAGUGAAGAAGUAAUUCGUUAUGUAAAGCUCUAUCAGCAGGGAAGAAACAGACGGUACCUGAGUAAGAAGCCCCGGCUAACUACGUGCCAGCAGCCGCGGUAAUACGUAGGGGGCAAGCGUUAUCCGGAUUUACUGGGUGUAAAGGGAGCGUAGACGGCGAAGAAAGUCUGAAGUGAAAGCCCGCGGCUUAACCGCGGAACUGCUUUGGAAACUUUUUUGCUGGAGUACCGGAGG